RNAcentral lists this ribosomal RNA (488 nucleotides) under uncultured bacterium. RNAcentral describes it as "bacterial SSU rRNA". It matches the Rfam family "Bacterial small subunit ribosomal RNA", at positions 28 to 526 of the family's 1533-position model. The record is from RNAcentral.
GACGAACGCUGGCGGCGUGCCUAACACAUGCAAGUCGAGCGAGGUCCAUCCGGUGGCAACACCGGUGAAGACCUAGCGGCGAACGGGUGAGUAACACGUGAGGAACCUGCCCCGAAGUCCGGGAUAACCCUCCGAAAGGAGAGCUAAUACCGGAUCCCCCCACCGGACCGCAUGAUCUGGUGAGGAAAGAUUCAUCGCUUCGGGAGGGCCUCGCGGCCUAUCAGCUAGUUGGUGGGGUAACGGCCCACCAAGGCGACGACGGGUAGCUGGUCUGAGAGGACGAUCAGCCACACUGGGACUGAGACACGGCCCAGACUCCUACGGGAGGCAGCAGUGGGGAAUCUUGCGCAAUGGGCGAAAGCCUGACGCAGCAACGCCGCGUGGGGGAUGAAGGCCCUCGGGUUGUAAACCCCUUUCAGCAGGGAAGACCAAGACGGUACCUGCAGAAGAAGCCCCGGCUAACUACGUGCCAGCAGCCGCCGUAACAC